RNAcentral lists this long non-coding RNA (43927 nucleotides) under Triticum aestivum (bread wheat). Its description in RNAcentral is "long non-coding RNA (TAES_LNC002040)". Lineage: Eukaryota; Viridiplantae; Streptophyta; Magnoliopsida; Poales; Poaceae. The record is from RNAcentral.
AUGUUUAACAUGCGGAAAUAUGGUGAUUGGCUACACUCUGGGGACAACAACCAACAACAAGACUUGCUUAUAGAGAAAAACAAACCGAACAUACAGCAAAACAAAGUCACUAGAGGACCAACCAACCAGGUAUAGGUUUUAUAAACAGCCCAUAGGAAGGGCGGCAACACAUCCACGACACACUAAAAUAUGGACUUCACACUGACAUCAACACACGACAAUAGUUUUUGUUCACAGGGUUACGAGCCCAAAGUUUCGACACGAGAAUAUUCAUCUAAGUUUUACGCGCACCCUUUGAAAACCGCUACAUCUUCGGAGACACAUGGAACACAUAAUGCAAGGGAUUGCAUGGGGCCACGUUCUCCCCCCUUCACUUGCCGCUACUUAGGAGUUAGGACCGCUUGCCGCGAUCUGUUCUUCGAGCUGCAUCAAAAGAUGAAUAAUAGGUCAAUGAUUAAGAUAAGUCUAUGGCACAUAAUGAUGCUCAAGUCACGUGGUUUCACUAAUCAGCCAUGUUACAAGUUAGCUAGUUUCUUAUUUGCGCAUUUGGCGAAGCUUAAUUUAAGCUGGGAAACAAAGAAUUUCUACCACUUUUUUAGCUACCAUGUGCAUCUACCAAGCAUGAUGACAAAAUUACCACAUAAUCAUUUAACGGCUAAAUGAGACUUUUCGGUACCUCAAACUAAGUGAUCCAAAUCAUAAUGUCAAAAGAAUUAGAUUAAGUAUUAAACAUUGUUCCCUUUUCUCUAUCUUAAUAUGACCAAUCUAUGAGUUAUGAAACUAGCGGGAAUUUGGUAUCAAAAUCCAACAUUAGGCACAUAAGGUGCUACCUGCAUCAUGAUCUCCAACUCAUGUCGCACAUUUUAGAACUCAUUCCUAACAAGAGCCAAUGACAUGAGACACCUGAAAUAAUGCAAAAAUACCACAUUGUCAGAUUCUGAAGAGGUUAACAGAACUGAGAUGAAAUGGUUCAAAAAUUGUAACCCUAUGCUUCAAAAGAGAAAAACCUCUAGCCAUAUAUGAAUUUAGUUGUGCGAUAAACAGAAGUCUAGAGCCAAUAAAUUACAAGAGAACCAUCAAAAUGUAGCAUAUUCAGAUAAUGAACUGAGUAAUAUCAACAAUGUGAUUGCAGACGAAGUGAAAAAGUAAAUCAGGUUACUUCUUAACAAUGUUAGAUUGGUAUGAGCUGAAAAUAACGACAGAAAAGACAACAUGAGCUGGUAGGUUUACAUGGAGACAUUGAAAAACAAUGUUGUGAAUAAUUAUUGUGUAACAAUAUUUAAUAAGCUGUUGAGUUCUGACCCAUGUUUGUAUUGUAUGGCAUAGAAAUUGCCGAAGUGCAUGCAGGCGAGGUUUACUUGCUGUGCACCAACACUGAAACAUGCAAAAAAAAAUGCAGAUCAGGAAAUUAGGAACUUAUCAAACUUAUUUUAAACUGAGACGUCAACUCAAUAAUAUUCCCAAGGAGCCAUUUCCUAUCAUGAUUGUCAACUCCAUGAAUUGUUUGAUGAACCAGAAAAAAACACCAUUGCCGUCAUGUGCAAUGGCAGAUCAGUAGUACCAGAAAUAUUCAGAAAACGACAAAGUUUUUCUUGACAAACCAUGAAAUUGUCAUGAAUACCGACAAAUCCGCUACACGAGACACAACUACGAUCAGGUCUUCUAAUUUUCGAUAUACGACACCCGAAUCACGUCCAUGACGUAGACACCCUGCGCCUGACAAAUCUGAAUAGAAACAACACCGUUCCAAUGGAGAAACAGAAAAAAUGGCCAUUGGUGUUAUGUAGAAUUGCAGAUCAUUAAUACCAGCCAUGCUUAUAAAACAACAAUUUAUUUCAUGUUCGGACUAGAAUUAUGGCAUUGCCCAAAGAACAGACACGAUAGUAGAACAAACAUUUGCAAAACGACAAAAGUUCCCCUCGCCAAGCUAUAUGAUUUGAUUGAAAUUGGGAAGAAUACCAAAAAAAAUUGUUACACGAUAUAUGACUAAACUCAUCUCUUCUACCUAUGGCUAUACGGCGCCUGUAGAAUGACACGAACCUCAAUUGUGCGGCCGUGUCGUGAGGUACGCACCCCGUGCCGACACAUCCAAAUAAAGAACAACAUCAAUGCCGUGGACAAACUAGAAAAAACACAAUUAGAGAUACAUAGAAUAGCAGAACAUUAAUACUAGAAAAACCACCAUUAGUAAUACACAGAAUAGCAGAUCAUUAAUACCAGGAAUAUUCCGAAAACGACAACAAUUUAUCCUCAUCAUUGAUAUUUAUCGGGAUACCGGUAACUCCGUUACACUAAACGCAACUAAACUCGAUUCUUCUAAUUACGCCUAUGGGGCAGUGCAACCGACAAAUAAGAAUCACUCGCCCAGUAUAAUAAACAGAUCUGAAUCGCACGACAUUGACGCAGUGGGCAAACAAACAUAGAGUUAAAAAUAAGCAGGUGGAAGAGAGAGAAAGGGUUUAUGUUGGUCAUCACCUGGAGGUGCACCGCAUGAGAUGCUGCGUCAGGGCUUCCACCUCAUCAAAGUCCACUUUGGGCUCCUCCCUGCGAUUUCCAGAGCAGAUAAUUAAGAUAAGUCAGUACCAAACAGAGAGUAGAGGGAGAGAUGAUAGAGGGCGUGGGGGGCGGACAUCAGGAUGUCGAUGUCGUCGAUGAUCUUGGAGGCGUCGUAGAUGAAGAGGCGGGAGACCUCGACGGCGGUGCCCUCGUCCCGCAGCUCCUCGAACGUGUCCUCGUCCAUGACACCCUAGAUCGACAUCAACCACGGCAAGGCAAACUCAUAGGCCAAGUCAGGCCAAAUUCCACAACCACACGACUAGAGGGGAGGGGAGGGGCCUCACAUCAGUGUACAUGCCGGUGAUAUGAGCGUUGAGCUGCGCCCUCAGUGCUGCGGCUGCCAUGGCAAGGCGAGGAGAAGUCCGGCGGUCCGGGGGACUGAGCGGUGGAGAUGGGGGAAAUUCGGCUGCGGAUGCGGAGUGAACAAGGACGGGAUCGAGGAGGAGCGGAGGUUGUAUAGCUGGGCUCACGAGGGUCUCUCACGUAGGCGUUUGGCAGCGAGUGCUCUACUAGCUGUACUGCGUCGUCGGCCGGGCGCCAUUAGUUAGCUUGGAAACGGCCCGCGUGCGUAAUGCGUGCAUGCAUCAUGCAUUCAGGCAUGGAACCACCGGUUGUGUGUCCACGUGUUCAUGGAAGUGAGCGUCUGUUUCAACUUUAAUCUCUUUUCCUUUCAUAAAAAACUUUAGUCCCUCACAAUGCUUAUAGGGACGAAUAGAAGACCAUCCACUCUCCUCUGUCUCACUUGAGUGAAUUGGUUUCGAGAGCAUUCCACCACUUUUUAUGAUUUUCACAGUUUCACUUUCAACCCGAUUCACCGCCUACAUGCCCUUUACGUCCAGUCAUUCCAAAGAGUACUUGCCCCCCACCCCUUGUCUUAGCGCGGCUGCUGGCACGCAGUUACCGGGGCUUCUUCCUCUAGUUCUGCCGUGAUCGCGCACUCGACGUAAGAGCUUUACAAGGAGCAUUGACCUUCUUCACUAACGCGAGAUUGCUGGAUUGGGCUUUCGCCCAUUGUCCAAGAUUCCCCUCUGUUGCCCCCCAUGGGAGUUUGGGUUGUGUCUCAGUCCCAGUGUGGCUAAUCAUUCAAAAAGACCAGCUAAGCAUCAUUGGCUUGGCCAGCAUUUACCUGACCAACUAACUAAUGCUACGCAGGCUCAUCAAACAAUGCUUUGAACUUUCUUCAGAAUUCGGCCCAAACUAUUCAACAGAUUCCCACGCAUUACGCAUCCGUUCGUCACUUUGUUCUCACCUAUUCCGAUUAAUUCCAGCAAACGGAGGCUGUUAGGUCAAAGCCGCAGCGCACGCCCUAUAGUUUUGAAGCAAGGCGAGACAACUUUAGCUAUGGGGAGACCUAACCAAACAUGGCGGUCAACCCCUAGAAUAAAUCAUGCUUCACGAGUUUGCGAGCUUCAACAUUCAAGCUCCUAAAUUCAUGGCUAAUGAUACAAUUAGUAAAAGUAGCCUUCCGAUCUAUGAUCCAUGUAUGAUUGCUCUGUAUAUAGCUGCGCUCUUCUGAUGUAUAUCUGCAACACUACCUUGAAAUCUGAAGCCACCUGAAUCUUCCUCUCAUAGAGAUUAUCAGCAAGCGCAAGUGCCACCCUUAUUGCUGAAGAUUCGACAGUAGCAAGAUCUAAUAUAUGUGGGAACACAAUGGCUGACACACCCAGAAAAUUACAUGCUUGAUCUCUGCAUAUAGCUCCCAUUGCGCCUCGAGUGCCGCCUGGUCCAACCACCGAACCCACAUUGACCUUCACCAUUGCUUUGGGUAGCGCUCAGCUUAGUUAAGUAACUCUGCACAAAAGCCUGAAAAGUGAAAGGACUUUUAUAUAUCUCCUCAUGUAUAGCUUUGUGCCCAGCUCCCCAUAUCAUCCGCAAAAGUGAUCGUAAACAUGAUAAAAUCCUCCUCAUGUGAUAACACCUCAUGCAUGGUGAAUAGCCAUUGUUUGGUGUCAUCAUUUACAUUCAGACUCAACCGCUCGACAAUUUGCUCGUAUGAUAGUGCCCACAUGCUCCUUGAAACCAAGCAAUUCAGCAGGGCGUGCCUGCACGUAUCAUUAGACCCGCACAAACAACAAGCACUCAUCGUCGACAUGUUUCUAUGAUGAAGAAGGACAUUGUGAGUAUUGUGCUAAUCUCCACAUGAACACCUUGAUUUUCGAGGGGCUUUUAUAUGCCAUAAGUCUGUCCAUCCUGGACAAUCAGCCUCUGAGUUUGAUCGGCCGCCCUGCUCAUACAGCCAUGAUUCUCUAUUGAUCUUGGUUCACUGUAUCAUCUUGUAAGCGGAAUCCACAGUGAACAUACCCCUUCUAUCCUCACUUCAAGCACAAAAUCAGAUAUAUGUCUCGUGCAAAGAGGGAUCUUCAAUAUAGUCUCGGCAUCAAUGGGAAUAAGUUACGAUUAAAUAAGUUCAUCCGUUGACGACAUAGUGUAAUCAGUGUGUUCAGCGACCCUUGUCGGCGGCUGUGGUAUUUGUGAAGUUCUUGGCCUCUUUAUAUGCUCUCUAGUUAUCUAGUUGUCAUUCCAAAUAUCAGGGGAUUCUCUAUCUCCUAAUCUCCAUAUCAAACCAUGAGUCGUUAUGUCUUUCCCAUGCAAAAUAGCCCGCCAUAUCUGUGAUGGGUGUGGUCCCAAGGUUGCAUCAGAAAGAGAGUUAUUUGGAUAGUAGAAAACUUUUAAGAUUAAUGAACUCAGAGAACCGGUAUGGUCUAGCAAGGUACAGGCUUGCCUGGCAAGUAGGGCUAGAUUAAAGAUCUCAAAUAAUCGGUCUCAUCGUAACAUCCCAUGAGACCCAGCAUGGCUUCCUUCUCCCAUGUUUACUUCCCUACCAAAAUUGUUGGAUUGAAGAGGUGACACUCGCGCAACAUCCUCGCGGGAAACAGAAGCGGGCCAUGGAAUAUACCGGAAUUGCCUAUGCCAUAGAGUUUAUCAAAACCUCUUUACCUGUAGUUGACAGGAGCUUUUCCAUCUAUCCUCUCAGCUUUUCCGAAACUCUGUCACGUAAGUAUUUGAAAGUCAUGUUCUUGGACUGCCCCACAUCAGUUGGCAUACACAAUUUCCUGUCAUUGAGCGACUCAUUUUAGACGUUCAAAGUAUGCUUGACAUCUUCCUUGAGAGCCUGAGGGCAUCCUCUCUAUUGCAAAAUAUAAAGGACUUGCCAUGAUUUAUUCUUCGUCUGGAUCCCAACCAAUAAUUCUCUAGUAGGUUUGAUACUUCAACUGCCCAAUCAUGACUUGACUUAAAAAGCAAGAUGUUGUCAUCUGCAAAAAGUAGAUGGUUCACAGCCAAAGUUGUUGGUGCCACUUAAGCGUGAUGAAGAAGAACUGGAUUUCAGGAGGCAUUAAAGGCCCUCUACUGCAAUUAAGAAAAGAUAUGGGGAUAUUGGAUCUCCCUGCCGGAUAACUCUUUUGGGUUGUAAUUGAUCAAGUAUCCCACGAUUAAAAAGAACCGAGAAAGAUACCGUCUGAACCAUGCCCAUAACUAUUUGUACCCAUGUAGGAGAAAACCCCAAUUUCAACAUCGUGGCUUUAGAAUAGUCCCACUCCAACCUAUCAUAUGCCUUCCUCAUAUCGAGCUUCAAAGCAUAGUAGCUACUAACUUUUUCCCUCGCUGCAUUUCAUGAAAUGUAAGAACUCAUAUGCACUAAUAAUAUUAUCCGUGAUCAUUCUUCCAAGGACAAAAAUUGAUUGCUCCUCAGAUAUGAUAUCAGGAAAAAUUUGCUUCAAUCUAUUUGCAAUAACCUUGGAAGCUAUCUUGUAUAAAACAUUGCACAACUGAUAGGCCUAAAUUUUGUUAAGAGGGUUUGGUUUUUUACCUUUGGAAUCAAAACCAGAAUUGUAUCAUUGAUGCAUUCAGGUCUAUCUUCCCCUCUCACGAUUGUCAAAACCGCCUCUAUUACUUCUUUACCACAAAUAUCCCAAUGAUGCUAAUAAAAAUGGGCAGGGAACCCAUCAGAGCAUGGAGCCUUCAUUGGGAACAUUUGAAAUUGUGGCACCCUGGCUCAGAGUAACCGGUUUACCUUGCAUUGACAGCCCAGAGAUCAAGUCUUCUGGCAACACAUAACAACUUGGUACAUACAUAACCGCUUUAUUGAUCUCUUGCGGAUACAUAGGUUUGAUGAUUACAUAAGAAAGCGAGGCCAAGCGGCACACACGGUGCGACUCCACUAUGUACAUUAUCUAUUAAACAUCUCAAGGGCCUUGAUGCUAGAGGAUACAACUACUCAGUAGCGAAACAAUGAGCUAGCAGAACUCCAUGCCACAAGGACACUACUAGGACACAGCCUAGAUCGUGAAGUACCGAUCAACCUCAACUCCUUGCACGGUUUCUCCUGCAUCUGGCAUGACGCACCAGGUGGGUACUUUGAAUGUAGUCGCAAGCUCACAGCAAAAAUGACAAACAAUAACAUGGAAUGAACAAAUUAAACAUGAUCAUUAGCAUGAUGUUACCAAUCGCAGUGUGCAAGAGUGGAAUACCGUCAUGGUCCCUUGGACCAACUUACCCAUCUCAAGGGUUACCUCGUAACCACCAUUGAUAGCAACCAUACCAUCGUGAUCAACACACGAUCACCUCAAGAUCAACUGACUUCUUCUUGUGCAAGCUCGAGGUUCAUAAGUGUGCAAGUUAAUUAUUUAUCUUGACCCAUAGUGUGACCUACUACAAACUGUGUCCAUAACCGAGGACGUGGCUAUCGAUAGAUUAUACACUCUACAUAGGCUAGUACACUGUACCCACACUAUGGAACUCAUGGCCUCAUGCUCCCAUUCGGGUGGACUAACGAGGUUCCAACAAAACCAAUCUAUUAUAUACACUCUCCCGACCACUCCGAAAAACUCCUGUCUGGGCUAUGCCAUGGGUCACCCCUAUGUCAACUCGUGAAUCCGCCACCUUUGUGGCCGCCACCGCCGUGGCCAACCAAACUUUAUCGUCCCAAACGGGGACCUCGAUACUAUAAAACUUGGGCUCAAAAGGUUAUUGACGCCUACUGGGCUAGGGUAGCACGUGCACAUAACAUUCCCUCGUUAGAGGCACCGGCGAGAGGCAUGAUAAUAGAGCGAAUUAGAACAUCCUCAUCCAAGAAAGUGUGGUUGCACUAGUGAGCUCGAUUCGGUGGCACUAUGACUCUAUUAAUAGCUUUGAUCAAGUUUGAUUAUAGUCAAGUUUAACUUGAAUGAAAAUGAUUCGAGCCAUAGAAUGCAAUAGGGUGCAUGAUAGUGAGCUAAAUGGUGGAUGAAUCCUAACUUAACCAUAUAACAUUUACUCUACUGUCUACAACAUACAUAUGACAUGGAAAUUAGCAUUGUUUGACAUGAAAAAUAAUAACAAACAACAAUGGUUAUCGUGUUAUUAUCUCUCAAUGCGCCAGGGGAAAUAAAAAAUUGCGGGCGUGCCAGUGUACUAAGUACACAAAUAAACAGAGGGAAACAUGCACUUUAUUAAUCUCUCAGUGGAGAAACAAAAUUACAAGAUCCCUUUACAUAUGCGCUCCGUGGCCUACUAGCGCGGCCUGCCUGACUGUGGCGAUUGCGGUCUCCUGGUUCCCAGGGCCUCGGAAGGCUCCCGGUUAAUUACUCCCGCGGGUUGCUUCGCGAGAUACCUUCAAUUAAGCUGUGUGGUCGUCUUCGUUGUCUUCGCUUCUCGUCCUCCAUGCAUGAUGAUGGUGAUGUGUGUGUGGGCAGCGGCAGAGCCCGUGUCCUCGUCGGUACACACGCCGCAAGUGGCGUGGUCUUAGCGGUGGCCGCGCCUGCCCUGGCCGUCGUGCCUCGUCGGUCUUGGCGGCGUUGGAGUAGUUGGUGUUGGGGUAGCAUGGGUCGCGGUCGGCUCAGACUUCUUGAUGACAUGUUGCUUCAUCGGGGUGUUCAAGAGGCUACGCCUUGCGGGAGUAACAGUUUGGGGAGACCGGCGUCAGUGUAAAAACUAACGGACACACGCUCACAUUGGCGUGGCCGGGGUGGUUGGCGCCUCAUCUUGACUAGACGCCAAGUAUUUGGCGGUCUGCCAAGGCAAAGGCGCCGCCUCACAGGGCCGUGGAAAGUGGUGUCGCAAAGGCCGCAUCGCCUUGGGCUGGUACUACGUGAAAGAGUGACCUGUGCGCCGGCGAUGCCAUGGACCUAUACACUAAGGACCUGUCCGCCAUGGUGGGUGUGCCUCUCGAAGGAGGGACUAUCUUGGACAGCGUCGUUGCAACAUUCGUUUCAGUGAAGGAUCUGUACGCCAUUGACCUGUUCGUCGGGGACGCGGGCCUCAUGAAGGAGGGACCGGUCUUAGACCCGUCGUUGCGGAUAUUGGUUCCACCAAGGAUCUGUACGUCGUGAUGGGAAAGGCGGGGGCUGCGUUGUCGGCGAGCUCCGGUUCCGCCGCACCGUCCCCUCCAAGAGUGUGACGCAAAACCUGUCCACCGUGGCCUUGUUCGUCGCAAUCUGUGCGUUAUGAAGGGAAAAGCGAGACUCGGGCUGCGUCGUCAGCGAGCUCCGGUUCCGCCAUGCCGUCUCCUCCAAGAGCGUGAUGCAAAACCUAUACGCCUGUGUAUCCUUUGCCAUGAACCUGUUCACAAUGGCCCUGUUCGUCGCAAUCUGUGCGUCGCGACCUGUACACCAUGGGCUAUUCGCCGAGCGCCAUGAAGGCCGCCAUGGUAGAGCGCCGGGGCUAGCGGUUGGGCCGCGUCGUUGGCGAGCUCCGGCAGCUCCCGAGUCAUCUCCAGCCAAGAACAUGACACCUGAAAAUAAAAGGCUUGGCGUAGACGAUCUCCGGCGGUGUCAGUGCAGUCUACUGUUUCGGUGCAGUCAUCUCCGGCGGCGGCGAUGGGAUCACACGAGGGUCAUCUCCGGUGACCGGCACAUACUCUCCGCGUAGCGAAUGCAUGCUAGAGAGGAGACAGAAGAAAAUAGAUGUAUUAGAUCAAAAUCUCACCCUUCGGGAACAUAAGCUUGGUGUCCAUGUCGCUGGCGCUGGUGUUCUCGCCCGGCUGCGUUGGCCCGUCGAUGCUAUCUGGUCUUCUGCCUGGUGAGUUAUGGUGGAUGAAGUGCAGCGUGAUGGAUGAGUACGAUCUAUGUGGGCGCUCGCAAAUUGAUGUGCAGCCUUGCGGCGUGGGUUCUCCCUCUCUGGCCGUGCGUGCGUGUGCAGGGCGACGGCGUCUACGCGUGCGUGCCUCUCUCCUCGUGCCUUUUUUUCCUGCGAAUGGCCUUGUGCCUCUUUAUAUAGGCAGCGGGGUGGGAGCUGGCGAUGCUCAGCCAAGGCCACGGCCUAGAUAUGGACUGUAACCAAUCCAUCUAUCUUCGCUGCUUAUCAUUUCAUUAUUUUUCUUGGCGCACACUUCUGCCAAAAACAAAACAAGACCGAACCAAAUAACACACGUACAUGGCUGGCUGUAGGUGGGCCGAUUCGACUGCCGAAAAUAUGACUCUCUGGCCGUCUCCAAAGCUCACCCAUUUGUAAUUUAUUUUAUACAGAUUAUACGGGUAUUCGGGUAUGUAUGCAUGCUUGCCGGCCGGUACAUGGGUAUUCAGAUACGCAUACGAUCCGACCGAGACGUCUUCUGGGACGUGAACUGCACCAAGUCUUACAUCUACCUGAUUAACUCGUGAGUAGCCUAGCUCAUACCAGGCAUGUGAUUGGCAAAACAAAUACACUUGCAUGCAUGCAUGGUACGUCAAGCGAACCUAGUCAAAUAUGUGCAGGCAUGUACGUGUACAUCCAAAUAUCAACAUGGACGUGUAACUUGCACUAAAAUAAAUUGCAUUUAGACUUAGAUUUCUGAAAGCAAGAAGCACAAAAACACCUCAAACAAGCAUAAUGUAAAAAGUAGCAUGCAGGUAAUAGUUUAAAUUCAUAAGGCAUAUAAGUAAUCUAUAUUCAAUUGGAACCAAAUCCAUUGCAAUGCCAUCUUGCAAAUGAAUGUUGUGGCUUGCCUUAGUUCAGAGGAGUGUCACGAUACUCCUGGUCUUCUCACAUAGAAUUAGUUUCUUCUAAAAAUAAAUUUCAUAACAAAAAGAAAAUGUCACAUAAAGCUUUUUCUAAUACCAUAAAUUCUAGACAGCAAGGGAUAAUCUCAAAUUGCACCAACAUAAAGUUCAGCUCAUGACGAAACUAUAGCAAAAAGUUCAACUCAUUUGGACUUUUGGUUUAGAAAUCAUAGCUAGUCAAAGUUUGGGUCAAAAUCUAAUUUUAAAUUGAAUUAACAGAAAUUCUAAGGAGGGCCACGUCGAAGGCGUUUUUGCUAGGGCGCCUCCAUAGAAAAUGAUUCGGGGGGAAGAGAGAAGCUUACCAGUAUGGUCCCCGUGUUAGGUUUAGGAGAGAGAAGGAGAGAGAGAGAGAGAGAGUAGAGGUGGGCGGCUAUUGCCAAUGAUCCUCCUGUGAGGAGACCAUGGCGGCUGUCGGCGAUGGUCGUGAUGGGUUCAGAACAGCGUGGGGAGCACGCACGUCCCCCUUGCUUGGUCGGAGGUGGACGAACGGCGAGGCUGGCUUCCUCUCCAGAGAAGAUGGGCAAUCGAGCUCAUCGGAGUCGGUGUUCCCGAUAUUGUUCCGACUGAUCAACUACACCGUCGUGCUCUAGAGAUCAAUACGAGCUCGCCUGAAGAAGUCGUGGAAGCAGAGGAGGGCAGGACCGAGAGAAUGGUCUAGGGGGAUCCGCAGGCAACUCCAGCGAUGGUUGAAGACAGGAGGCCCUCCUAGCCUUGCCCCGCUCGUCGGUGGUCAACUUGUGGCCAGUGGAGGAGUGGUGGAUAGUUUGACCAGCUAGGGAGGGGUCUAUUUAUAAGAGAGAGGGAGAUGCCGAGCACCGAGCACCGCCAUGAGGAAGCUAGCGGAGCUCUGGCGAGGCGUGUAGCUCGGGCACGGGUGGUGAAGUGACUAGAGUGGCACGGGGUGAUGUAGAUGCAUGCGGGCAAAGCUAGGGCGCGCGAUGUGGGUCAGGCGACGCACUAACGCACACUAUUCCCGCACGGGCACGCCGUGUCCGCGUCCGGCGAGCCUCUUGCCGACGUCGGGAAGGACUUGGAGCUGGCCAAGUGGAAGAGGAGAGCAAGUGAGGCGGCGCGGGCAAGCUGUAGUGUCGCAAGGGCGGCAUUUGGGUGACGGCCGAGGGUCCCGGCGUCCAGAGCGCGCGCAUUGCAUGUCGAACAACUGCAUCCCGCAUGGUCACUGCAUGAAGUGGCACACGCGGGACUUUAGGCCAACAGGCCAAAAACCAGGGUGUCACAGAGAAAGAGUGCAUUUUUGAGUUCCUCGAGUGUGUAAGGGGAAACUAGCAUAUCAUUCAUCUCAGUUGUGACCUUGCUUGGGACAUUUUUUUAGUAUUAUAUCCAUAUAACUUACACCCUCAGAUGUAUACAGAGAUUUGUAGAAUUCAUGGACCAUGUUUUUCAACUCCUUCGAUCCUCCGCCGUUACACCAAGAGAAUUCUGCAAAGCUUUGGUCAUAUUUUUCUUCCUCGAGAUGCUAGCCUGAAGAUGGAAAAGCUUCAAGUUUUUGUCUCCCGAAGCCAACCACUCAGGUCUUGCUCGUUGCCGCCACAUCACCUCCUCACGAUGGUACAUCUCUACUAAUUUUUCAUUGAUUUUUAGCUCGGCGUGAGUGGGAACCGUCCUGUUUGGAUCAGACCAAAGCUUUUCUGAUUCUCGCUUUGUUUUGAUCUCCUUGCAUACACUGCCAAAUGUAUCAUUGUUCCAGCGCAAGAGACGGCUGCCAACUUCGUACUCAACUCGUUUGUUCCGAAGGUGGUACCCGAUGCAGCCAUGUCGUGUUAAUCAUAUCACCCCAUUGCUCAUGUCCUUCCCUCAUAACCUCGUAAAACGGUCUUGCCCUUGUGUUUGUUGGGAAACGUAGUAGAAAACAAAAAAGUGCCUCUACGCACACCCAAGAUCAAUAUGAAGAUGCAUUACGUGUUGAGGUCAUGAUUAUUGCCGUCUCCGUGUUGCAGCAGAAAAAUAACGUGUCAGUUUAGAUCAUACUUGGAGUCCCUUGAACCUUCGAGGAACAAUCCCGCAAACCGCUGACGAACAAUGCCUCGAAUUGAAGACUGAAAGCACAGUCUCUCUACUUGUUUGCAAGCGUGCAACCUUCAUGACCUGGUAGCGCUUCGCCGUUUACUCUUGUCUACUUACACUGAGCUAAAGCAACUCUAAUGGUGUUAAAUCUUGCAACAAGAGUAAGAAAGAUUCUUCUUCUAAUAGUAACAAUAAUCAUGCUAAACCCAAUGUUGUUGCUUCUAGUAGUUCUCUUGAGUCCACUAAUGAUCCUCUUAGCCAAGUUACAUUUGAUCAAGAAAAUAGCUAAUUAAAGGGAAUUAUAGAGAAAGGUGUUUACAAGAGCCUUGCCGGAAGUAAGCAAUUUGAGGAAAUUUUAUGCAAGCAAGGAAGACACCGGAAGAAUCAAGGAAUUGGUUUUGAAUGAAGGUUUAAUGCCAAUGGAGUUGAGUGGGAAGAAGAUCAAUACCACAAGAAGAAGUUUGUUCCUCAACAAAAGAAGUAUGAUCCUACUUCUUUCCAAGGAACACAAGCUCAAGAUGUUCUUCCACCACAAGACCACAAGCAAAAAGGCAAGGACAAGCUUCAAGAGGAGAUUGAUGCAUUUGAAGAAUCUCCCAAAGCCUUGGUCAAGUGGGUUCCCAAGACUACAUCAAGUUCAACUUCAUCGAGUACGACUACAACUCCAGGGGUUCCCAUCAAGAUGGUGUGGAUCCCGAAGAAAAAGAACUAGAGAGUUCUUGAGGGUGACUCCGCCAACACUUCACUCAUAUCUUUUGGCAAGGACACGUGCAAAAAACUUCCAUAUCUUGCACUAGUUCAAGGAGUCACAAACCCUCUUGUUGAUAAGACAAGGGACAAGGUAACCUAAUGCUUUCAUGGACAUCAUCUUAUGUGAACAUCACUCUAUGUCUAUGGAUAUCCUUGUUUGUUCCUUGUGGGACUAACCCGUGUAGGUAUUGAAAGUGCAACUCACUCUAAUGGAUUUCUCUAAAUGAUCUACAUCAACAUUGAGCAUCUACAUCUUCAACACCUACAUGAAUUCAUCAUCGACAAAACCCAAGGUUAGUUCAUCCCUCUUAGGGGGGGAUAUCACAUCUAGGUGGAGCUUUACUCUAAUCAAUUGAGCUAAAGGAACUCUAAUGGUGUGAACACAACAAUGCUUUAUAUAAAAGUGGCAACCCCACUUAUGCUUAAACGAUGAGUAUGACCUAUGAUCAAAUGUUCUCAUUUGACUCCUCAGUCAAUAUACUCAUAUAUGGAUGACCUAGUCAUCGCUAAUUGCUUGAUAGAUUCUAGAGUGUUUGUGCAUGCUCUGCCACAAAUUUCAUUUGUCAUUUUAUUGUGUGAGCAUGUUGGUUGCAUAUUUUACACAUUCGAGGACAUCUACUUAUUGUUUUGAUUGGUUGGCAUUUUCUCUUUUGCCAAGUGGAUGAACAAGAAGGCCUAAGAACCUCCUCUAGCUAUCUAUGCAUUUCUCGUCAGUUUGAUCAAGUUAAACUAGAACCACUCUGUGUGAGGAGCACUCAGAGUCCCCGAUUCGUCGUAGACUUAAAUUUCCAAAACCUCUUUGUGCAUUUCGGUAUGACCGAGUCAUCCACUUUGUUCACACCGAGUUCACUAAGUUAAUCUAGGUUUUCCAUCUCGGUGUAACCGAUUUGAACUUUUCACUCACAUCGAGUUGCAGUAACCGCUUGCGAUUCUGCAUCUCGGUGCCACCGAGUUGUUCCACUCAGUCACACCGACAGGGUCGGGAUAUAUAUACCGACGGGUUGAAUUUUUGAAAUUUCUCUAAAACACUUAACCCCGCACAUGUCCUGCUCUGCCUCCUCGGGUCUCUGGAUCGUCUCCUCGCCGCUAGUGACCUCCCGCCGCUAGUCUCUGUCGCCGUCAACGGAAUUCUGCUCCGCCGUUGUCGCCGUAGCGAACUCCCACCGAACUAGGGUAUGAGUUCGACUCUUUGUGCUAUUUCCCAACUCCGAUUCGUAGAACAUUACUUUGCCAUGAUAAUGACCAUGUAUGCAAACAAUCCAUCCACUAAAAACCUCCUUUAGAUUAGAUUGGUUUUGAAAAUUUAGGGUUAGGCCUCCGUCGGACUCAUCUCGGACCGACCGAAUUGUAGAAAUCGGUCUCACUGAUUUGGCUUAGGCCGUAGCACAUGCAUUUUCGGUCUGACCAAAAACUGCAAAUUGGUGUGACCGAGUUCGAUUCUCUGUGAAAUCCUAGCAGUCUUGGUGCCACCGAACUGUGACUCGGUCUGACCGAGUUCACUAGUUUAGGUUCCAAAAGUUGCUUCGGUAUCAUCGAGUUUAUCAAAUCGGUAGCUCCGAAAUGCUUUCUGUGGAGAACUAAAACUAGGUUAUUAAGUCAUUUGUUUUGCAAAAACUUUGGACUUUGUGAUGCUCAUCCACUCUACCUCAUCGACAUCUAUUCAUAGGGUUUGCUGUCAGUGAUUUCCAGGAUGUCUGACCAGAGUGACAGUCGGAACAAAUCUGAGGAACAUGUGAGGGUUCAGAUCCAUCAAGCACCUCAGAUGAUGGCAGCAGGAGCACUCCUAGUAACUUGCCAAAGGCAGCCACCAGGACAAGGAAGAAGAAAACCUCAGACUGUGAGGAUGAAGACUAUGUGGCUGUUGAGGAUGAGGCCACCUCAAAGAGGAAAGUGUUGAAUAAGGAGUAUGGCUCAGCUGGUACAACAGAGUCAGGGAUGCACAAGAAGGCUCCUACCAAGAGAAUGCCAACAUCCAAGCCUAGGAAAGCAGCCUUGGAAGAAAUUAUGGAGUUCACUCUUGAACCCAAAGAGGCUGGAGAAGGCAAGAAGAGAAAGGAGAGGGUCAAGAAGACCACUGCCAGAGUUCUAGGGAGAUCAUCCAUGUUCAAGGAUCCCGCGGAAGAAGAGGAAGAGGAAGAGGAUGCUCCAGCACCCAAAGCUCAGAAAAUUAUGGGAGAUGCAAUUAAGUCAAGGGCUGCAACAUCGAAGCCCAAGUCUGCUCCCAAAGCUCGAGCUCAGAAGUCAAAGCCCAAGGGAAACACUAGAAGUAUUCCUGCAGAAGAGAAGGACAAGGCCCAGUGCCUCAAGCUGAAGAAGAGGAUGAUGAGUCUCUUGUUUUGAGGAAAUUGAAACCCAAGAUCCUAGACCACAAUGAUACUCAUCUAGUGGCUGAAGACAUGCACAUCAGAAAAGAUGUUGGACUGAGAUUGUGGAGACAGUCUGAUCCCUAUGCUAUGAGGAGAAAGACUGCAAUUGACUACAUGUUCCACACAAAAGAAUAGCAAGACUUCUAUGAAACUAUUUUGCUUGACAAGAAACCCAUUGUUUCUGACAUGAUAUGGGUUGAUUGGGAAUUCAUCAAGGAUAAUGAAGAUCAUUUCCCAGGAGUAUAUGACAGCUUCAAAGCAUGUGGAGUAGAUGAGUUUGUUGGACAGAAGCUCACAAAAUGGAAUGAUGAGCUGAUCAUGCAGUUUUACUCCACUACUCAUUUUUACCCAGAUGGGAAGAUCAUAUGGAUGUCUGAAGGUACUAGGUACCAAUCCACUGUUGAAUAAUGGGCCAAGCUGAUCAAUGCCCCAGAGGAACAUGAGGAUGACUUGGAUGUGUAUGCCAAGAAGAAGAAACACCGCAACUCCAUGGCAAACAUGUACAAAGAGAUCCCUGAUAAAGCUUUGGAGACUCACAGGCUUGGAUCUGUACAUUACUUGAUGUGUGGUCUGCCUACCAUCAACUGGAUCCUAAGGCACACAUUACUACCCAAGUCAGGAGAUCACAAGAUGAUCAGAGGACAUUCCAUCAACAUGCUGCAAAUCUUUGAUGUCCCUCAGAAGUUCAAGGUCAUGAGUUUGAUUGUAGAGACAAUCAAGAGGACUGGUACUGACCAAAAGAGAAGUUGUGGGUAUGCUCCGAAUAUUCAGGAGCUCAUCAAUUCUAAGAUGGGCACAGGAACAUACUUGUUGGACAAGGAGCAUCUACCCCUUUAUCCUGAAUUUGAAGACAACACAGUUGUGAUGAAUGAGGAGGAACCAUCUUCAGUACAAGCACAAGAGAAGUGAGCCAAAGCUAAGGCAGAGAAAGCUGCAAGGAUGCCAAGUGCAGAAGAAGCAUCUCAGGUGUUCCUCAAGUCAAAACAAGAUCAAUUAGGCUAUCUGUUUCAAGCUGCACUAAGGAUUGAGAAGGGCUUGGCCACCCUGACUCAGAAUCAGGAGAGCCUGGAGAGGAUUGUUGAGACAAAAUUCUAUGACCUUGACCUCAAGGUAACUGAGAUAUAGACUGUAGUUGAGCAGCUCCAGGAGGAAGCAGAAGAGAGGAGAGGGAAGGCAACUACUGAUGCUUUUUAGCAUGUGCCACGAGGUCAGAGGUCUACCGCAGUGCCAGUACCAGUCUCUAGAACUACUCUGUUAGCACCAGCAGCUACAGCCUCAGUACCACCUCCUACAGCCACUCCACCAGCUCCAACUACAUCGACAGAUGCCUUCGUCCUUGGAGUUCUCUCUACACCACCUCCCGAAGACCGAGCCUGAGAGACGCAUAGCACUAUGCAUUUUCAAACUUUUUGGUAACUUCUUGCCAAAGGGGGAGAAAUAUGUAUAGAUAAUAGGCUUCAAGAGAGUGUGUGUUGUUUUUUAUCUCUCUUGUUUUUGGUUGAACCUUUUUAUGCGCUUGGUUGAUACACUAUGUCUUUGUCUGUGUGAGAUACUUGUUUGAUCAUGUGUUUGAUCAUAUGCUACCUUAAUGCUUGCUUGAUUGAUAUUAUCUGUUAUAUUCUUAUAUGAUCAUUCACUUUGCUUGGUGAUGAGUGCAUGCUUUUAAGUUAUAUCAUUUUGAGCGCUCCACCAAGAUGUAUGUGACAUGGAAGAGUAACUCAUGAUCCUAAUCGAUUGUGCAUUUGCAUUCAAAAGAAAAUUUUAAAUAAUGCACAAAUUUAGGGGGAGCUCUUGCUUAUCACAUACUUCUCAAAGUGACGAUGUAUUUCAAUCUUAUAAUCAUUUGUUGAAGCUUUGAUCUAUAUGUUGUCAUCAAUUACCAAAAAGGGGGAGAUUGAAAGUGCAACUAUCCCUGGGUGGUUUUGGUAAUUCCUAACAACAUAUAGCUCAUUGAGCUAAUACUAUUUCAAGAUAAAUAUUUCAGGAAAGCUCAAUGAUUGGCAUGGCAUGGAUUAGAAAUGUGGACCCCUCAAACUGCUAAGGACAAAAGAUUGGCUCAAGCUCUAAAGCUCGAGACUCUACAUCUUACCUUUUAGUGAUCCAAGAUCACAUUGAGUCCAUAGGAAAAGCCAAUACUAUUAAAAGGGGAUGAGGUGUUGCCUAAUGGGUUACUUGCUAAAAUGCUUAGUGAUAUGCUCCAAAACCCUUAACCACUUUCUCAUAUCCACAUUUGUCCCAAACCAAAAGUCAAACUCGGCCCCACCAAAACUUUCCAUCCAGCACCACCGAGUUCAGUUGACAUAGCCACUGCCACAAAACCCUAGUCUUUUCAGUCUCACCGAUAGGAUCUCGGUCUCACCGAGAUGGGAUUGCAAACUCUCUGUUUCCCUUCGUAAUGUUUCGGUCUAACCGAGAUGAGCGAUCGGUCCCACCGAGUUCACAAUGCAAACUCGGUGUUUCCCCAUCCGAACGUUUCGGUCCAACCGAGAUGAGCAAAUCGGUCCCACCCAGUUUGCCUGACCAACUCUCUGAUUAGCUUAUUACCAAAAUCGGUCCCACCGAGUUUGUGUAACCAGCCUCACCGAGAUUACGUUAUGACCUAACCCUAAUGAAAUCGGUCCCACCGAGUUUGUGUAACCAGCAUCACCGAGAUUACGUUAUGCCCUAACCCUAAUGAAAUCGGUCCCACCGAGUUGACGUGUCGGUCCCAUCGAAAAUCCUAACGUUCACAUUUUGAACUGAAUCGGUCCGACCGAGUUUCACGAUUCGGUCUCACCGAGUUUGGUAAAUUGUGUGUAACGGUUAGAUUUUGUGUGGAGGCUAUAUAUACCCCUCCACCCACUCUUCAUUCAUGGAGAGAGCCAUCAGAACAUGCCUACACUUCCAACAUACAUUUUUUGAGAGAGAACCACCUACACUUGUGUUGAGGUCAAUAUAUUCCACUCCAACCACAUAAAUCUUGAUCUCUAGCCAUCUCUAAGUUGCUUUCCACUCAAAUCAUCUUUCGACCAAAUCCAAAUCAGUGAGAGAGAGUUGAGUGUUGGGGAGACUAUCAUUUGAAGCACAAGAGCAAUGAGUUCAUAAUCAACACACCAUCUAUUACCUUUUGGAGAGUGGUGUCUCCUAGAUUGGUUAGGUGUCACUUGGGAGCCUCCGUCAAGACUGUGGAGUUGAACCAAGGAGUUUGUACGGGCAAGGAGAUCGCCUACUUCGUGAAGAUCUACCCUAGUGAGGCAAGUCCUUCGUGGGUGAUGGCCAUGGUGGGAUAGACAAGGUUGCUUCUUCGUGGACCCUUCGUGGGUGGAGCCCUCUGUGGACUCGAGCAACCAUUACCCUUCGUGGGUCAAAGUCUCCAUCAACGUGGAUGUACAAUAGCACCACCUAUCGGAACCAUGCCAAAAAUCUCCGUGACUACAUUGCGUUUUCUCCCUCCAAACUCCUCCCUUUACCUUCGUGUGCAAUGUUUUACAUUCCGCUGCUAUACCCUUAGACUUGCAUGUGUAGGUUGUUUACUUGACUAGUGCUAAGUUGCUAAAAUCUGUCAAGACUUAAAAUUGGGAAAAGGCUAGUGUUUUAUUUGGUCAAGUAGUCUAAGCACCCCCCCUCUAGACAUAAUUUCGAUCCUACACACUGGGAUUCUACUUAUGAGGAUUAGAGGAUCUAGGUCUAGCUCUAAUUAGAUCAACUAGGAUCAACUAGAACUAGAACUAAAGGAAACAUGAGGAUGCUCCAAACUUGUAUAUGUCCAUAGAGAAAAAAACCCUGGUAUAUAUAGGUUGGAAGGGAGGGAGAGGGCAGCCAUGGAGGGAAAGUCUCUCCUUGGGGCGCCUCCCCCGCCCUCCCACCCACAUACACACACACACACGAGGAAGGGCCGCCAGUUCCUAUUGGGCCAAGUUGGCCCGAUGCUCCUUCCCCGGUUUGGCCUUUUAAUGACCGUUUGUAUUAAAUUUAUUAUAAAAUCCUUCCAAUAAAUAAUAGACCCUUUAUAUAUCAUUUAACAGCCCUGGAAACAUUUUACACCUAUAUAUUAUUUAACAGUAAUACCCUAUAUUAGUCGAUACUCUCCGAAACCCUUUCGGUGACCCCGAAACGCUUACGGAUAUUUAUGAAACAAUUCCACAAACAUAUACUAAUCAUUCCCAUCCUACUAACACUUAGCAGAUCAUAAUUGCCUUAAGCUUGUGACCCCGUAGUUUCGGUAACUCAUAGACAUGAACGAAACCCCUUUGCUCAAUGACCGAUAGCGGAAACGUGGACGUCCAUAUCGAUCCCUAUGAGCACACGAAUGAUAUUCAAGUGAAUAUUUGGUUAUCAUGUGAUGUUCCCUUUGCUUCGCAAUAUUUCACAAAACCCAGGAUACAUCGGUGUCCUCCUGAGUCAUCACAUGCUCACGAUACCAUUAUCCCCGUUACUGGUUUUGUUCUUCUUUCUCGUUGUCGUGUUCCAGCAUCCUCGUGACGUAGUCACAUGUGUCGUGCCAGACGAUGAUUGAUACCAUCACACCGAGAGGGCCCUAAUAAUAUCUCUCCAUCUUCAUAGGAGCCAAUCCCACUCUCAGGCUAUCUAGUCCCUUGUCAAACUUUCUCAUGAACAUGUAAGUUGUCAUUAUGAUCACCAUGUCACAGGUGACGUUUGAGCAACACCAAAGUCCACCGUGCGGUAAGAAGUGAUUACGAUACUCUCAUGGUCUAAGGAGAAAAAUCACACGUUAACAGUCUGUGUUGUUACAAUUGAUUACAGACGAUAUAAUUUCAAUUUGUUACACACAAAUUUUGGUCGAUUCAAUAUGAUCGUUCUUCUAACAUCACACUCUAAAUGUUGUUUUAGGACUAUCGUUACACUUAGAGAUAUCCUAAGAUCUGGAAAACAUGAUCACCAACAACACUUGAGCCAGUCUUAGAGGCAAGAUUGGGAACCUAUUCUUUACCGUUUAUCAUUCCACGCGUGCAUAUGAGUUUUCCACUAAGUCGCCUAUUCCAGUAUCAUGGUAGUUAUAGCAUGAAAUAUACACUCUUAAUUAUGAAAAUGAAAUUAUAAUAAUACAAUAUUAUUGUCUCUAGGGCAUAUUCCCAAUAGUGUUGUGUUGUUGUUGCCGAUGCAAAGUCCACCAAUAUCGCGUCAUGAUCUGAAGUCACGACUGUCAAGUGAGUUUAAUCAGCAAGUGAAACCUUUACUGCCAGUCCACAGAAACCAGCACUCGGUCUAGGCGCACCAUUGUGAAAGUACCACCUGUAACCUUCAUCUCAAAGGUCGGGCCUGAGUAACCAGCAUGCAAACAUCAACCUUUUCUUGAAAAGCUUGGAUCUGCACACUGCUACGUUGUCUAACUCCUUCGUGCUCAUCCGGAUGUAGAACAUCAUUGAAAUUGCCCAAGCAAAGCCAUGGGAGAUUGCUGGAAGUACUAAUGUUUUUAAUAGUAUCCCAUGUUUGGUGCUUCAAGUGGGUAUGAGCUUCACCGUACACUAUUGUAACUCUCCAAGGAUCAAGGCUUGGUUCAAGAAUGGAGCACUCAACAUGAUACACAGAGUAACCCAGAAUAUCUAUUUUAUUUCAUUAUUCCAGAAAAUGCCAAUACCGCCAUUGCUUCCCUGGCUAUCAAUCGCAUAUCCAUUAUCAUACCCUAAUGUUCCUGCUAAAGAUUCUACCCUCGAGACUCUUGUUGCGUUUCUACUAUGUAGAGGAUGGCGGGGGAAAAUUUCCUUGUGAAAUCACAAAGCUCACUGACUGUCGUGGCUCUGGCCGAACCACAACAAUUCCAGCGGAAGACACACAUUGGACAUGGCGGCACUCCCCUCGGGAGCCUAACAAUUUUUCCAUUGGGUUUUUUGUGUUGCCAUCGUUCUUGUGCAACGUGUUCUUAUCUGCUGCAAUUACUUGUCCUUGAGAUGUUUUGUUCCUGCCGAGACGAGGGGCUCGAUGGGAUUUGAGGGGAAGGUAGUGUCGGUGUUUUGCCUUGGGCCGACAUAGUUGUUAUGGCUAACUCAGCUGCCACUGGAUCAACUGUCGCUGCGAGCUCUGAAGUUCGGUUUUUGUUCAGUUCGGCCUUGUGCACAUAGGCAGCAGGGUGCUCAUACUCUGAUUCCCCGCUAGCUUCCUCCUGGGUGCACCCUGGUCCAUGACCGGUCCUGCCACAAAGGCCACGGCCUCGCCCUCUCCCUCCUCCAGGUCCUCUUCCCACUGCCUUGAACCAGCUAGCUCGCAGAUUUUUGAAAACUAGGGCUAACGGUGGAUGCACUCCAUCCCGACAUUCCUUGUACAUGUGGCGCAAAUAACAACAAACCAUGAAUGACUCUGGUAGCCGCUCAUAUGUGACUGUGAAGACCAUAUGUUCAUACACAUUUAACAUUUUUCAAAUUCUUGAGUUACAUUUUUUCAAAUACGUGUUCAACAUUUUUUUCAGAUACUUGUUCAUCAUCUUUUGAGCAUAUGAUCAACAUUUCUUCCAUACUCCCGCCGUCCGGUGAAAGGUCUACAUAUACAAAUUUUAGGACAAAUAAAUGAGUGGAGUAAAAAAUGCAUUGGGAAGAGGCAAGUCACCAUCUCUUUUUUUAAUUACCAAAACCCCAAUGAGUUAAGUGUAGAAUGUUAUUGGUCUUGAUUACUGUGUGAUGACAGAGAAGCAUUUUUUCUACUUUCAUGUGCAUUGGGAGGAUAGAAGUACACUCUUUUGUGGACAAAAUUUAAAGCCAAACGUACACCCUUCACCGGACGGAGGGACUACACAGUUAACAUUUUCCAUAUGAUUGUUUAACAUUUAUUAAAUACAUGUUCAACAUUUUUUCAAAUACUUGAUUAAAAUUUGUAUACAUAUUAUAAAAAAUUCAUCAUUUUUUUCUUACAUGGUCAACAUUUUCCUAUACACAUUCAACAUUUUCAAAUGCAUAACUAUUUUUAGAAAAAACUUUAUGUAGAGUAUAUUUUUGUCAUAUAUAUCUUUAGAGUAUUUGGAGGCGUAAAUGAAAGUAGAAAUCAAAAAAGGAAUAGCAGAUCAUUAAUACCAGGAAUAUUCCGAAAACGACAACAAUUUAUCCUCAUCAUUGAUAUUAAUCGGGAUACCGGUAACUCCGGUACACUAAACGCAACUAAACUCGAUUCUUCUAAUUACGCCUAUGGGGCAGUGCAACCGACAAAUAAGAAUCAUUCGCCUGGUAUAAUAAACAGAUCUGAAUCGCACGACAUUGACUUAGCGGGCAAACAAAUAUAGAGUUAAAAUAAGCGGGUGGAAGAGAGAGAAAGGGUUUAUGAUGGUCAUCACCUGGAGGUGCACCGCAUGAGCUGCUGCGUCAGGGCUUCCACCUCGUCAAUGUCCACUUCGGGCUCCGCCCUGCGAUUUCCAGAGCAGAUAAUUAAGAUGAGUCAGUACCGAGACAGAGAGCAGAGGGAGAGAUGAUAGAGGGCGUGGGGGCGGACAUCAGGAUGUCGAUGCCGUCGAUGAUCUCGGAGGCGUCGUAGAUGAAGAGGCGGGAGACCUCGACGGCGGUGCCCUUGUCCCACAGCUCCUCGAAUGUGUCCUCGUCCACGACACCCUGGAUCAACGUCGACCACGGCAAGGCAAACUCAUAGGCCAAGUCAGGCCAAAUUCCACAACCACACGACUAGAGGGGGGGAGGGGCCUCACCUCCGUGUACAUGCCGGUGAUAUGGGCGUUAAGCUGGGCCCUACGGUAUGAUGUUCCAGCGAUCAUCGUUGGACCUGUAAUUGGCGACUUAAUUAGCCCAGACUUUUCGUACCAAUGCAAAUACACCUAAGCCGAGAGAUGCUCUUCACGCUGUCUCGCGAACCGACAGCUUUGUGAUCCCUCGAUGUGACCUUGCAGACCAUCCCUUCUGUUUUGCCCCUCCUCCGGCUACUGCUUGUGGUGCCGUCGUACUCUUAUAAGAAGGCCACGCUGAAAUUUCAGACCGAAAAGACCUGUUUAACAUGCCCAAAUAUGGUGAUUGGCUACACUCUGGGUACAACAACCAACAACAAGACUUGUUUGUAGAGAAAAACAAAUAGAACAUACAACAAAACAAAGUCACUAGAGGACAAACCAGCCAGGUAUAUGUUUUAUAAACAGCCCAUAGGAAGGGCGGCAACACAUCCACGUCACACUAGAAUAUGGACUUCACACCGACAUCAACACACGACAACAGUUUCCGUUCACAGGGUUACGAGCCCAAAGUUCCGACACGAGAAUAUUCAUCUAAGCUUUACGCGCACCCUUUAAAAACCGCUACAUCAGCAGAGACACAUGGAACGCAUAAUGAAAGGGAUUGCAUGGGGCCACACUCUUCCCCCUUCACUUGCCGCUACUUAGGAGUUAGGACCACAUGCCGUGAUCUGCUCUUCGAGCUGCAUCAAAAGAUGAAUAAUAGGUCAAUGAUUAAGAUAAGUCUAUGGCACAUAAUGAUGCUCAAGUCACGUGGUCUCACUAAUCAGCCUUGUUACAAGUUAGCUAGUUUCUUAUUUGGGCAUUUGGCGAAGCUUAAUUUAAGCUGGGAAACAAAGAAUUUCUACCACUUUUUUUAGCUACCAUGUGCAUCUACCAAGCAUGAUGACAAAAUUACCACAUAAUCAUUUAACGGCUAAAUGAGACUUUUCGGUACCUUAAACUAAGUGAUCCAAAUCUAAAUGUCAAAAGAAUUAGAAUAAGGAUUAAAGAUUGUUCCCUUUUCUCUAUCUUAAUAUGACCAAUCUAUGAGUUAUUAAACUAGUGGGAAUUUGGUAUCACAAUCCAACAUUAGGGACAUAAGAUGCUACCUGCAUCAUGAUCUCCAACUCAUGUCGCACAAUAUAGAACUCAUUCCUAACAAGAGAAAAUGACACAAGACACCUGAAAUAAUGCAAAAAUACCACAUUGUCAGAUUCUGAAGAGGUUAACAGAAUUGAGAUGAAAUGGUUCUAAAAUUGUAACCCUAUACUUCAAAAAGGAAAAAUCUCUAGCCAUAUAUGAAUUUAGUUGUGCUAUAAACAGAGGUCUAGAGCGAAUAAAUUACAAGAGAACCAUCAAAGUGUAGCAUAUUCAGAUAAUGAACCGAGUAAUAUCAACAACGUGACUGCAGAUGAAGUGAAAAAGCAAAUCAGGUUACUUCUAAACAACGUUAGAUUGGUAUGAGCUGAAAAUAACGACAGAAAAGACAACAUGAGCUGGCAGGUUUACAUAGAGACAUUGAAAAACAAUGUUGCGAAUAAGUAUUGUGUAACAAUAUUUAAUAAGUUGUUGAGUUCUGACCCUUGUUUGCAUUGUAUGGCAUAGAAAUUGCCGAAGUGCAUGCAGGCGAGGUUCACUUGCUGUGCACCAACACUGAAACAUGCAAAAAAAAUGCAGAUCGGGAAAUUAGGAACUUCGCAAACUUAUUAUAAACUGAGACGUCAACUCAAUAAUAUUCUCAAGGAGCCAUUUCCUAUCAUGAUUGUCAACUCCAUAAAUUGUUUGAUGAACCAGAAAAAAACACCAUUGCUGUUAUGUGCAAUAGCAGAUCAGUAGUACCAGAAAUAUUCAGAAAAUGACAAAGUUUUUCUUGACGAACCAUGAAAUUGUCAUGAAUACCGACAAUUCCGUUACACGAGACACAACUACAAUCAGGUCUUCUAAUUUUGGAUAUACAACACCCGAAUCACGUCCAUGACGUACACACCCUGCGCCUGACAAAUCUGAAUAGAAACAACACCGUUCCAAUGGAGAAACAGAAAAAUGGCCAUUGGCAUUAUGUAGAAUUGCAGAUCAUUAAUAGUAGAACAAACGUUUACAAAACGAAAAAAAAUACCCUCGCCAAGCUAUACGAUUUGAUUGACAUUGGGAAGAAUACCAACAAUUUCAUUACACGAUAUAUGACUAAACUCAGCUCUUCUACCUAUGGCUAUACGAGCCUGUAGAACGACACAAACCUCAAUUGUGCGGCCGUGUCGUGAGGCACGCACCCCGUGCCGACACAUCCAAAUAAAAAACAACAUCAAUGCUGUGGACAAACUAGAAAAAAAACACCAUUAGAGAUACAUAGGAUAGCAGAUCAUUAAUACCAGAAAAACCACCAUUAGUAAUACACAGAAUAGCAGAUCAUUAAUACCAAGAAUAUUCCGAAAAGGACAACAAUUAAUCCUCAUCAUUGAUAUUAAUCGGGAUACCGGAAACUCCGCUACACUAAACGCAACUAAACUUGAUUCUUCUAAUUACGCCUAUGGGGCAGUGCAACCGACAAAUAAGAAUCAUUCGCCCAGUAUAAUAAACAGAUCUGAAUCGCACGACAUUGACGCAGCGGGCAAACAAACAUAUAUAGAGUUAAAAAUAAGCAGGUGGAAGAGAGAGAAAGGGUUUAUGAUGGUCAUCACCUGGAGGUGCACCGCAUGAGCUGCUGCGUCAGGGCUUCCACCUCGUCAAAGUCCACUUCGGGCUCCUCCCUGCGAUUUCCAGAGCAGAUAAUUAAGAUGAGUCAGUACCGAGACAGAGAGCAGAGGGAGAGAUGAUAGAGGGCGUGAGGGCGGACAUCAGGAUGUCGAUGUCAUCGAUGAUCUCGGAGGCGUCGUAGAUGAAGAGGCGGGAGACCUCGACGGCGGUGCCCUCGUCCCGCAGCUCCUCGAACGUGUCCUCGUCCACGACACCCUGGAUUGACAUCGGCCACGGCAAGGCAAACUCAUAGGCCAAGUCAGGACAAAUUCCACAACCACAUGACUAGAGGGGAGGGGAGGGGCCUCACCUCGGUGUACAUGCCGGCGAUAUGAGCGUUGAGCUGCGCCCUCAGUGCUGCGGCUGCCAUGGCAAGGCGAGGAGAGGUCCGGUGGUCCGGGGGACUGAGCGGUCGAGACGGGGGAAUUCGGCUGCGGAUGCGGAGUGAACGAGGACGGGAUCGAGGAGGAGCGGAGGUUGUAUAGCUGGGCUCACGAGGGUCUCUCACGUAGGCGUUUGGCAGCGAGUGCUCUACUAGCUGUACUGCAUCGUCGGCCGGGAGCCAUUAGUUAGCUUGGAAACGGCCCGCGUGCGUAUUGCGUGCAUGCAUCAUGCAUGCAUGCAUGCAUGGAGCCACCGGUUGUGUGUCCACGUGUCUAUGGAAGUGAGCGUUUGUUUCAACUUUAAUCUCUUUUCCUUUCAAACAAAAACUUAGUCCCUCACAAUGUUUAUAGGGACAAAUAGAAGACCAUCCACUCUCCUCUGUCUCACUUAAGUGAAUUGGUUUCGAGAGCGUUCCAUCACUUUUUAUGACUUUCACAGUUUCACUUUCAACCCGAUUCACCGCCUACAUGCCCUUUACGCCCAGUCAUUCCAAAGAGUACUUGCCCCACCCCCUCGUCUUAGCACGGCUGCUGGCACGGAGUUAGCCGGGGCUUCUUCCUCUAGUUCUGUCAUGAUCGCGCACUCGACGUAAGAGCUUUACAAGGAGCAUUGACCUUCUUCACUCACGCGAUAUUGCUGGAUCGGGCUUUCGCCCAUUGUCCAAGAUUCCCCUUUGCUGCCCCCCAUGGGAGUGUGGGUCAUGUCUCAGUCCCAGUGUGGCUAAUCAUUCAAAAAGACCAGCUAAGCAUCAUUGGCUUGGCUAGCCUUUACCUGACCAACUAAUAAUACUACGCAGGUUCAUCAAACAGCGCUUUGAACUUUCUUCAGGAUUCGGCCCGAACUAUUCAGCAGAUUCCCACGCAUUACGCAUUCGUUCGUCACACUUUGUUCUCAACUAUUCCGAUUAUUUCUAGCAAACGGAGGCCGUUAGGUCAUAGUCGUAGCGCACGCCCUGUAGUUUUGAAGCAAGGCGACACAACUUUAGCUAUGGGGUGACCUAACCGAACAUGGCGGUCAACCCCUAGGGACAAAGCAUGCUUCAUGAGUUUAUGAGCUUCAGCAUUCAAGCUCCUAAAUUCAUGGCUAAUGAUACAAUUAGUAAAAGGAGCCUUCCGAUCUAUGAUCUCAUGUAUGAUUGCUCUGUAGAUAGUUGCGCUCUUCUGAUGUAUAUCUGCAACGCCACCUUGAAAUCUGAAGCCACCUGAAUCUUCCUCUCAUAGAGAUUAUCAGCAAGCGCAAGUGCCACCCUGAUUGCUGAAGAUUGGACAGUAGCAAGAUCUAAUAUAUGUGGGAACACAAUGGCUGACACACCCAGAAAAUUACAUGCUUGAUCUCUGCAUAUAGCUCUCAUUGCGCCUCGAGUGCCGCCUGGUCCAACCGCCGAACCCACAUUGACCUUCACCAUAUCAUCCCGAGGAGCGAUACAUUGAUUUGGCCUAAUCACUGGUGCCCCUGGACUGGACUUCGAGUGCUUUGGGUAGCUCUCAGCUCAGUUAAUUAAGUAACUGCACAAAAGCCUGAAAAGUGAAAGGGCUUUUAUAUAUCUCCUCGUUUAUAGCUUUGUGCCGAGCUCCCCAUAUCAUCCGCAAAAGUGACCGUAAACAUGAUGAAAUCCUUCUCAUGUGAUACACCUCAUGCAUGCUGAACAGCCAUUGUUUGGCGUCAUCAUUUACAUUCAGACUCAACCGCUCGACAAUUUGCUCGUAUGAUAGUGCCCACGUGCUCCUUGAAACCAAGCAAUUCAGCGGGGCGUGCCUGCACGUAUCCUUAGACCCGCACAAACAACAAGCACUCGUCGUCGACAUGUUUCUAUGAUGAAGAAGGAAACUGUGAGUAUUGUGCUAAUCUCCACAUGAACACCUUGAUUUUCGAGGGGGCUUUUAUAUGCCAUAAGUUUGUCCAUCCUGGACAAUCAGCCUCUGAGUUUGAUCGGACGCCCUGCUCAUACAGCCAGGAUUCUCUACUGAUCUUUGUUCACUGUAUCAUCUUGUAAGCGGAAUGCACAGUGAACAUACCCCAUCUAUCUUCACUCCAAGCACAAAAUCAGAUAUCUAUCUCGUGCAAAGAGGGAUCUUCAAUAUAGUCUCGGCAUCAAUGGGAAUAAGUAACGAUUAAAUAAGUUGUUCGUCCCUUGACGACACAGUGUGAUCAGUGUGUUCAGUGACCCCUGUUGGCGGUUGCGGUAUUUGUGAAGUUCUCGGCCUCUUUAUAUGCCCUCUAGUUAUCUAGUAGUCGUUCCAAAUAUCAGGGGAUUCUCUGUCUCCUAAUCUCCUUAUCGAACCAUGAGUCAUUAUGUCUUUCCCACACAAAAUAGCCCGCCAUAUCUGUGAUGAAUGUGGUCCCAAGGUUGCAUCAGAAAGAGAGUCAUUUGGAUAGUAGAAAACUUCUAAGAUUAACGAACUCAGAGAACCGGGAUGGUCUAGCAAGCGCCGGGCUUGCUUGGCUAGUAGGCUAGAUUAAACAUCUCAAAUAAUCGGUCUCAUCAUAACAUCCCAUGAGACCCAGCAUGGCUUCCUUCUGCCAUGUUUACUUCCCUACCAAAAUUGUCUGAUUAAAGAGGUGACACUCGCGCAACAUCCUUGCAGGAAAUGGAAGCAGGCCAUGGAAUAUACCGGAAUUGCCUAUGCCACAGACUUUAUCAAAACCUCUUUACCUGCAGUUGACAGGAGCUUUUCCAUCCAUCCUCUCAGCUUUUCCGAAACUCUGACACGUAAGUAUUUGAAAGCCCUCUUCUUGGACUGCCCACAUCAGUUGGCAUACACAAUUUCCUGUCAUUGAGCGACUCAUUUUAGACGUUCAAAGUAUUCCUGGCAUCUUCCUUGAGAGCCUGAGAGCAUCCUCUCUAUUGCAAAAUAUAAAGGACUUGUCAUGAUUUAUUCUUCGUCUGGAUGCCAACCAAUAAUUCUCCAGUAGGUUUGAUACUUCAACUGCCCCAUCAUGAGUUGACUUAAAGCAACAUGUCGUCAUCUGCAAAAAGUAUACGAUUCACAGCCGAAGUUGUUGGUGGAGCUUAAGCAUGAUGAAGAAGAACUGGAUUUCAGGAGGCAUUAAAGGCCCUCUACUGCAAUUAAGAAAAGAUAUGGGGAUAUUGGAUCUCCCUGUCGGAUACCUCUGUUGGGUUGUAAUUGAUCAAGUAUCUCACGAUUAAAAAGAACCGAGAAAGAUACCGUCUGAACCAUGCCCAUAACUAUUUGUACCCAUGUAGGAGAAAGCCCCAAUUUCAACAUCGUGGCUUUAGAAUAGUCCCACUCCAACCUAUCAUAUGCCUUCCUCAUAUCGAGCUUCAAAGCAUAGUAGCUACUAACUUUUUCCCUCGCUGCAUUUCAUGAAAUGUAAGCACUGAUAUGCACUAAUAAUAUUAUCCAUGAUCAUUCUUCCACGGACAAAAGUUGAUUGCUCCUCAGAUAUGAUAUCGGUUAAAUUUUGCUUCAACCUAUUUGCAAUAAUCUUGGAAGCUAGCCUAAAUUUUGUUAAGAGGGUUGGGUUUGUUACCUUUGGAAUCAAAACCAGAAUUGUAUCAUUGAUGCAUUCAGGACUAUCUUCCCCUCUCACGAUUCUCAAAACCGCCUCUAUUACUUCUUUACCACAAAUAUCCCAAUGACGCUGAUAAAAAUGGGCAGGGAACCCAUCAGAGCAUGGAGCCUUCAUUGGGAACAUUUGAAAUUGUGGCACUGUCGGUGUCAAAACCGGCGGAUCUCGGUUAGGGGGUCCCGAACUGUGCGUCUAAGGCGGAUGGUAACAGGAGGUAGGGGACACGAUGUUUUACUCUGGUUCGGGCCCUCUUGAUGGAGGUAAAACCCUACGUCCUGCUUGAUUUAUUCUUGAUGAUAUGGGUAUUACAAGAGUUGAUCUACCACGAGAUCGUAGAGGCUAAACCCUAGAAGCUAGCCUAUGGUAUGAUUGUAUGUUGUCCUACAGACUAAAACCCUCCGGUUUAUAUAGACACCGGAGGGGGCUAGGGUUACACAAGGUCGGUUACAAAGGAGGAGAUAUACAUAUCCGUAUUGCCUAGCUUGCCUUCCACACCAAGUAGAGUCCCAUCCGGACACGAGACGAAAUCUUCAAUCUUGUAUCUUCAUAGUCCAACAGUCCGGCCAAAGGAUAUAAUCCGACUGUCCGGAGACCCCCUAAUACAGGACUCCCUCAGUAGCCCCUGAUCCAGGCUUCAAUGACGAUGAGUCCGGCGCACGGUGUUGUCUUCGGCAUUGCAAGGCGGGUUCUUCCUCCGAAUACAUCACGGAAGAAUUUGAAUACAAGGAUAGUGUCCGACCCUACAAAAUAAGUUCCACAUACCACCGUAGAGAGAAUAAUAUUUCCACAAAUCUAAUUUGCUGACUUGUUUUGGCAACGACAUUAUGUCAUGGCCCGGUGAUUAUUCGAACCGUUUCCUUUAACUAGCCCCGCACAGAACGUGAGGCAGUUUUUUGACACGUCUUGUCAAAGCAGAGAUAGUGUCCCCUUAUCAAGGGAUUCUCAUCAAUACGGGCGUGGGUAACCCAACCGCGCCAUCGAUUACGACGCUUGGGGGAUAAGCGAGUUUUACCAGGCUAGUGGGGACGCAUAGUUUCGUCUGCCCAUAUAAAGGGAUAAGGAUUCACCUUUUCAUCCACGCCUUCUUCCUCCUUUGCUCAUCCAUUUUCGCACACUCGAGCUCCAGUGCCCAAGUCCGCAUUUCCCACCUCGACCUUCUCCAACCAUGUCCGGAGCGGGAGGUAGGUGGAUGGUCUCCUCCGUCACGGAGGGACACAUCAAGAAGCUGAGGACAGCCGGAUACCUGCCCGACAACAUCGCGCACCGGCUCCCAGAUGAGGGGCAGCUCAUCCCCACCCCUAGGCCCCAUGAGAGAGUAGUAUUCCUUACCCAUUUCCUCCGCGGACUGGGAUUCCCUCUCCACCCAUUCGUCCGGGGGCUCAUGUUCUACUACGGCCUGGAUUUCCAUGAUCUGGCCCCGAACUUCAUCCUCAACAUCUCGGCGUUUAUCGUCGUGUGCGAGGCCUUCCUCCACAUCAAGCCCCACUUCGGCUUAUGGCUGAAGACCUUCAAUGUCAAGCCGAAGGUAGUGAACGGCCGCCAGGCAGAGUGCGGAGAUGCCAUGGUGGGCAAGAUGCCCAACGUCACAUGGCUCGAGGGCUCCUUCAUGGAGAUCGUAAAGGGGUGGCAAUCGGGGUGGUUCUACAUCACCGAGCCGCAUGACCCUAAAUGGGCAGUGGCCCUCGAGUUCCGAUCUGGCAUCCCCACGCGGCUUACCUCCUAGCAAGAGAAGGGCCUGUCCUAGGGUAGUUCGGGAGAGCUGACUGGACUCCAAACAUGUAUUCAAAACAUGGUGAACAAGAAGCUCAAACUUGUCAACGUAGUCCAGGUCAUGCUCAUCCGCCGGAUCCUACUGUGCCAACAACGGGCUUUCAACUUGUGGGAGUUCGACACGGCCCAGCACCAAACUCUGAAUAGGCUCUUCGACACAACUCACGAGGAUGCCUGGAAGGUGCUAUUCAAGGGUGUCGAGGUUCCCCCCCCCCACUACCGAGGAUCACGGAUUCUGCGCGAAGUGCCAAGCCAGCGCGGUAAGCUGUUUCACCUCUCACAUGAUACUUGUUUUUCAUAGUUUGACUCUAUGCGGGAUGUAAGCUCCCGUACCUUUGACAGGACUAGCAGGAGACGACCGGACAGAUCGACUGUCCGGCUCCUUUGCCCGAAGGCCCAGCAGACGCUCUCCCGACAAAGAUGUUGACUCCGGCUCCUUACAAGGUGCCGGAGAAGACCAAGAAGGCCAAGGGAACCCAAAAGAGUUCCCGACGCCAGGCGUCAUCGGACUCAUCGUCUGAUAACUCUGCGACACACUCCUCCCCUGAAGACGAGGAGGAAGAAGAAGAUGCUCCCCCUUUAGAUGGGAGAGACAAGAAAAUGAAGGCCGCCCCAACUGGGGAGGCUGAAGGGUCCAAGAAGGGAAGGACUCUCCUUCCGGAUAGUUCCACCACCACCGCCGAAGGCGAAGACGACUGGCUGCUCAGGGCCAAGCCCCUGGAGAAGUCGUAAGUAUUCGGAUACUAGAGUAACUCAUAGCAUUCCUUUGUCGCACUGCUUCCCCUAACGCCGAAUAUGAUUAUGCAGGCCGCCAUGAGCCCGUAUCGAUGUAUCGUCGGACGGCUCCCUGGGCUCGUCGGAUAUGGAUAGCGAUCCACUUCCGACCGCCACCUCCCCUUGCCCUGCGGACAAUGCCGAGGUAUUGUCUCAAGAGGCACCGGGUCGAGGGGAGACAGUCUCAGAGGCGCCUCAAGGCGACCUUUCGGACUUCAGGAGCAAAGGGAACAAGGCCCUUGAGGGCCCCGAGUUCGGCCCUCAGCCGAACACCGCGCUGGAACUUCUAGUGGUUCCGGACUCGGGCAGGCGGCCUCCUUACAAGAGGGGCAAGACGCCUGUGCCGGUGACCUCUGUCCAUCCAGAGGCGCCGGACAAUCUGCUGGGAGCGCUUCGCAGCGCUUCCAUCGACGAGGAGCACCGUACUAUUAUGAGUGUGGUGGUCCAGAAGGUUCAGUCCGCCAAAAGCGGAUUGACUGAAGCCUGUGCCAGCCUUCUAAUAGGCUUUAAGGUAAGUGUUUAAAAUAUAGGAAAAAUAUUACCGCAUAGACAGUAGCCCCUGAUGCUCUGUUCGGUGUUCACAAAGAAAGCCGAACAGAGGAUCAAACAAUAUCGCAGGAGUCUAAUAUAAGUAUGUCAAUAUGCGUAUGCAGGCUUCGCUGCUGGCAUCUGCCGCACUGACUGCGGAGGUCGCCGCACUGAAGCAGGACCUUAAAGGGUCCAAGGACGAGCUCGGCCUUGCCAAGAGGCAGCUCGCGGAGAACAAAGGUAAGUAGUACCUAGUCUAUGGAUAUGUAUAAAAAGAAUGCGAUUGCAAAAUGACAGGAUCAUCAUGAAUUUGCCAGGGGCCACAACCGAAGUGGCUACCCUAAAGCAAGCGCUGUUUGAGACCGAAGAUAAAGCGGACAAGGAGCGCAUCGAGCGAGAAUGGCAAGAGACUCGGGUGGGCGAGGUGUGAUAUGUCUCCAACGUAUCUAUAAUUUUUGAUUGCUCCAUGCUAUAUUAUCUACUGUUUUGGGCAAUAUUGGGCUUAUUUUCCACUUUUAUAUGAUUUUUGGGACUAACCUAUUAACCGGAGGCCCAGCCCAGGUUUGCUGUUUUAUGCCUAUUUCAGUGUUUCGAGGAAAAGGAAUAUCAAAUGGAGUCAAAAUGGAACGAAAUCAACUAGAGAAGUUGUUUUUGGAAGGAAACCUACCGGAUAGACUUGGACCCUACGUUAGAAGAUGAAGGAGGUGCUCAUGAGGGUAGGGGCAUGCCCACCCCCCUAGGGCGCGCCCCCCUGCCUCGUGGCCCCCCCUUCGGUCCACCGACGUACCCCUUGUACCCAUAUAUACCUACGUAUCGUAAAACUUCCAAAACGGAGAUUAGAUCGGGAGUUCCGCCGCCAGAAGCCUCCGUAGCCACCAAAAACCAAUCUAGACCCAUUCCGGCACCCUGCCAGAGGGGGGGAUCCUUCUCCGGUGGCCAUCUUCAUCAUCCCGGUGCUCUCCAUGACGAGGAGGGAGUAGUUCUCCCUCGAUAGAUUAUACACUCUGCAGAGGUUAGUACACUCUACCCACACUAUGGAACUCAUGGCCUCAUGCUCCCAUUCGGGUGGACUAACGACGUUCCAACAAAACCAAUAUAUUGUAUACACUCUGCCUGCCACUCCGAAAAACUCCUGACUGGGCUAUGCCAUGGGUCACCCCUAUGUUAACUCGUGAAUCCGCUACCUUUGUGGCCGCCACCGCCAUGCCCAAACAAACUUUAUCAUCCCAAAUGGGGACCUCGUUACCAGAAAACUUGGUCUCACAAGGUUAUUGACGCCUACCAGGAUAGGGUAGCACAUGCACAUAGCAUUCCCUCGUUAGAGGCACCGACGAGAGGCAUGACAAUAGAGCGAAUUAGAACAUCCUCAUCCAGGAAAGUGUGGUUGCACUAGUGAGCUCAAUUCGGUGGUACUAUGACUCUAUUAAUAGCUUUGACCCAGUUUGAUUAUAGUCAGGUUUAACUUGAAUGAAAAUUAUUCGAGCCAUAGAAUGCAAUAGAGUGCAUGAUAGUGAGCUAAAUGGUGGAUGAAUGCUAACUUAACCAUAUAACAUUUACUCUACUGUCUACAACAUACAUAUGACAUGGAAAUGAGCUUAAUGUAACAAGUAGCAUGCAGGUAGUAGUUUAAAUUCAUAAGGCAUAUAAGUAAUCUAUAUUCAAUUGGAACCAAAUCCAUUGCAAUGCCAUCUUGCAAAUGAAUGUUGUGGCUUGCCUUAGUUCAGAGGAGUGUCACGAUACUCCUGGUCUUCUCCCACACAGUUAGUUUCUUCUAAAAAUAAAUUUAAUAACAAAAAUAAAAUGUCGCAUAAAGCUUUUUCUAAUACCAUAAAUUCUAGACAGCAAGGGAUAAUCUCAAAUUGCACCAACAGAAAGUUCAGCUCAUGACGAAACUAUGGCAAAAAGUUCAACUCAUUUGGACUUUUGGUUUAGAAAUCAUAGCUAGUCAAAGUUUGGGUCAAAAUCUAAUUUUAAAUUGAAUUAACAGAAAUUCCAGGGAGGGACACGUUGAAGGCGUAUUUUGCUAGGGCGCCUCCAUAGAAAAUGAUUCAGAGGGGAAGAGAGAAGCUUACAAGUAUGGUCCCCGUGUUAGGUUUAGGAGAGAGAAAGAGAGAGAGAGAGAGAGAGAGAGAGAGAGAGAGAGAGAAGAGGUAGGCGGCUAUUGCAAAUGAUCCUCUAGUGAGGAGACCAUGGCGGCUGUUGGCGAUGGUCGUGAUGGGUUCAGAGCAGCGUGGGGAGCACACAUGUCCCCCUUGCUUGGUCGGAGGUGGACGAACGGCGAGGUUGGCUUCCUCUCCAGAGAAGAUGGGCAAUGGAGCUCGUCGGAGUCGGUGUUCCCGAUAUUGUUCCGACUGAUCAACUGCACCAUCGUGCUCUAGAGAUCAACACGAGCUCGCCUGAAGAAGUCGUGGAAGUAGAGGAGGGCAGGAGCGAGAGAAUGGUCUAGGGGGGUCCGCAGGCAACUCCGGCGAUGAUCGGAGGCAGGAGGCCAUCCUGGCCUUGCCCCGCUCGUCGGUGGUAAAUUUAUGGCCAGUGGAGGAGUGGUGGAUGGUUUACCAGCUAGGGCGGGGUCUAUUUAUAAGAGAGGGAGAUGCCGAGCACCGGGCACCGCUGUGAGGAAGCUUGCGGAGCUCUAGCUAGGUGUGUAGCUCGGGCACGAGUGGUGAAGUGACUAGAGGGGCACCGGGGAGAUGUAGAUGCACUCGGGCAAAGCUAGGGCGCACGAUGUGGGUCAGGAGACGCACUAACGCACACUAUUCCCGCACGGGCACGCCGUGUCCGCGUCCGGCGAGCCUCUUGCUAACGUAGGGAAGGACUUGGAGCUGGCCAGGUGGAAGAAGGAGAACAAGUGAGGCGGCGUGGGCAAGCUGUAGUGUCGCAAGGGCGGCGUUUGGGUGACGGCCGAGGGUCCCGGCGUCCAGAGCGCGCGCAUUGCAUGUCGAACAACUACAUCUCGCAUGGUCACUACAUGAAGUGGCACACACGGGACUUUAGGCCAACGAGCCAAAAACUAGGGUGUCAUAGAGAAAGAGUGCAUUUUUGAGUUCCUCGAGUGUGUAAGGGGAAACUAGCAUAUCAUUCAUCUCAGUUGUGACCUUGCAUGGGACAUUUUUUAGUAUUGUAUCCAUAUAACUUACACCCUCAGAUGUAUACAGAGAUUUGUAGAAUUCAUGGACCAUGUUUUUCAACUGCUUGGAUCCUCCGCCGUUACACCAAGAGAAUUCUGCAAAGCUUUGGUCAUAUUUUUCUUCCUCGAGAUGCUAGCCUGAAGAUGGAAAAACUUCAAGUUUUUGUCUCCCGAGGCCAACCACUCAGGUCUUGCUCGUUGUUGCCACAUCACUUCCUCAUGAUGGUACAUCUCUACUAAUUUUUCAUUGAUUUUUAGCUCGGCGUGAGUGGGAACCGUCCUGUUUGGAUCAGACCAAAGCUUUUCUGAUUCUCCCUUUGUUUUGAUCUCCUUGCAUACCUGCCAAAUGUAUCAUUGUUCUAGCGCAGGAAAGGACUGCCAACUUCGUACUCAACUUGUUUGUUCCCAAGGUGGUACCCGAUGCAGCCAUGUCGUGUUAAUCAUAUCACCCCAUUGCUCAUGUCCUUCCCUCAUAACCUCGCAAAAAAGGUCUUGGCCAUUGUGUUUGUUGGGAAACAUAGUAGAAAACAAAAAAUGCCCCUACGCACACCCAAGAUCAAUAUGAAGAUGUAUUACGGGUUGAGGUCAUGAUUGUUGCCGUCAUCGAGUUGCAGCAGAAGAAUAACGUGUCAGUUCAGAUCAUACUUGGAGUCCCUUGAACCGUCGAGGAACGAUACCGCAAACCGCCGAUGAACAGUCCCUUGAAUUGAAGACUGAAAGCCCAGUCUCUCUACUUGGUUGCAAGCGUGCAGCCUUCAUGACCUGGCAGUGCUUCACCGUUUACUCUUGGCUACUUACGUUGAGCUAAAGCUACUCUAAUGGUGUUAAAUCUAGCAACAAGAGUAAGAAAGAUUCUUCUUCUAGUAGUAACAAUAAUCAUGCCAAACCCAAUGUUGUUGCUUCUAGUAGUUCUCUUGAGUCCACUAAUGAUUCUCUUAGCCAAGUUACACUUGAGCAAGAAAAUAGCUUAUUGAAGGGAAUUAUAGAGAAAGGUGUUCACAAGAGCCUUGCCGGGAGUAAGCAAUUUGAGGAAAUUGUACGCAAGCAAGGAAGACACCGGAAGAAUCAAGCAAUUGGUUUUGAACGAAGGUUUAAUGCCAAUGGAGUUGAGUGGGAAGAAGAUCAAUGCCCCAAGACGAAGUUUGUUCCUCAACAAAAGAAGUAUGAUCCUACUUCUUUCCAAGGAACACAAGCUCAAGAUGAUCUUCCACCACAAGACCACAAGCAAAAAAGCAAGGACAAGCUUCAAGAGGAGAUUGAUGCAUUUGAAGAAUCUCCCAAAGCCUUGGUCAAGUGGGUUCCCAAGACUACAUCAAGUUCAACUUCAUCGAGUACGCCUACAACUCCAGGGAUUCCCAUCAAGAUGGUGUGGAUCCCGAAGAAAAAGAACUAGAGAGUUCUUGAGGGUGACUCCGCCAACACUUCACUCAUAUCUUUUGGCAAGGACACGUGCAAACAACUUCCAUAUCUUGCACUAGUUCAAGGAGUCACAAACCCUCUUGUUGAUAAGACAAGGGACAAGGUAACCUAAUGGUUUCGUGGACAUCAUCUUAUGUGAACAUCACUCUAUGUCUAUGGAUAUCCUUGUUUGAUCCUUGUGGGACCAACCCGUGUAGGUAUUGAAAGUGCAACUCACUCUAAUUGAUUGCUCCAAAUGAUCUACAUCAACAUUAAGCAUCUACAUCUUCAACACCUACAUGAAGUCAUCGUCGACAAAACCCAAGGUUAGUUCAUCCCUCUUAGGGGGGAUAUCACAUCUAGGGGGAGCUUUACUCUAAUCAAUUGAGCUAAAGCAACUCUAAUGGUGUGAACACAACAAUGCUUUAUGUAAAAGUGGCAACCCCACUUAUGCUUAAACGAUGAGUAUGACCUAUGAUCAAAUGUUCUCAUUUGACUCCUCAGUCAAUAUACUCAUAUAUGGAUGAUCUAGUCAUCGCCAAUUGCUUGAUAGAUUCUAGUGUGUUUGUGCAUGCUCUGCCACAAAUUUCAUUUGCCAUUUUAUUGUGUGAGCAUGUUGGUCGCAUAUUUUACUCAUUCAAGGACGUCCACUUGUUGUUUUGAUUGGUUGGCAUUUUUAUAUUUUGCCAAGUGGAUGAACAAGAAUGCCUAAGAACCUCCUCUAGCUAUCUAUGCUUUUCUCGUCUCAAACUCUAUUCAUGCUACAUCACAAUGUAUGAUCAAGUCAGAUUCAAACCACUCUGUGUGAGGAGCACUCGGAGUCCCCGAUUCAUCAUAGACUUAAACUUCCAAAACCUCUUUGUGCAUUUCAGUAUGACCGAGUCAUCCACUUCGGUCACACCGAGUUCACUAAGUUAAUCUAGGUUUUCCAUCUCGGUACAACCGAUUUGAACUUUUCGGCCACAUUGAGUUGCAGUAACCGCUUGCGAUUCUGCAUCUCGGUGCCACCGAGUUGUUCCACUCAGUCACACCGACAGGGUCGGGAUAUAUAUACCGACGGGUUGAAUUUUAGAAAUUUCUCUCAAACACUUCACCCCGCGCAUGUCCUGCUCUGCCUCCUUGGGUCUCUAGAUCGCCUCCUCGCCGCUAGUGACCUCCCGCCGCUAGUCUCCGUCGCCGUCAACGGAAUUCUGCUCCGCCGUUGUCGCCGUAGCGAACUCCCGCCGAACUAGGGUAUGAGUUCGACUCUUUGUGCUAUUUCCCAACUCUGAUUCGUAGCACAUUACUUUGCCAUGAUAAUGACCACAUAUGCAAACAAUCCAUCCACUAAAAACCUCCUUUAGAUUAGAUUGGAUUUGAAAAUUUAGGGUUAGGUCUCCGUCGGACUCAUCUCGGACCGACCGAAUUGUAGAAAUCGGUCUCACUGAUUUGGCUUAGGCCGUAGCACAUGCAUUUUCGGUCUGACCAAAAAUUGCAAAUCGGGGUGAUCGAGUUCGAUUCUCUGUGAAACCCUAGCAGUCUUGGUGCCACCGAACUGUGACUCGGUCUGACCGAGUUCACUAGUUUAGGUUCCAAAAGUUGCUUCGGUAUCACCGAGUUUAUCAAAUCGGUAGCUCCGAAAUGCUUUCUGUGGAGAACUAAAACUAGAUCUAGGUCUAGCUCUAGCUCUAAUUAGAUCCUACACACUGGGAUUCUACUUAUGAGGAUUAGAGGAUCUAGGUCUAGCUCUAAUUAGAUCGACUAGGAUCAACUAGAACUAGAACUAAAGGAAACAUGAGGAUACUCCAAACUUGUAUAUGUCCAUAGAGAAAAAACCCUGGUAUAUAUAGGUUGGAAGGGAGGGAGAGGGUAGCCAUGGAGGGAAAGUCUCUCCUUGGGGCGCCUCCCCCCCCCUCCCACACGCACACACACACACAAGGAAGGGCCGCCACUUCCUAUUGGGCCAAGUUGGCCCGAUGCUCCUUCCCCGGUUUGGCCCUUUAAUGACCAUUUGUAUUAAAUUUAUUAGAAAAGCCUUCUAAUAAAUAUUAGACCCUUUUAUAUAACAUUUAACAGCCCCAGAAACAUUUUACACCUAUAUAUUAUUUAACGGUAAUACCAGAUAUUAGCCGAUACUCUCCGAAACCCUUUCGGUGACCCCGAAACGCUUACGGAUAUUUAUGAAACAAUUCCACAAACAUAUUCUCAUCAUUCCCAUCCUACUAACACUCAGCAGAUCGUAAUUUCCUUAAGCUUGUGACCCCGUAGUUUUGGUAACUCAUAGACAUGAACGACACCCCUUUGCUCAAUGACCGAUAGCAGAAACGUGGACGUCCAUAUCGAUCCCUAUGACCACAUGAAUGAUAUUCAAGUGAAUAUUUGGUUAUCAUGUGAUGUUCCCUUUGCUUCGCAAUAUUUCACAAAACCUAGGAUACAUCGGUGUCCUCCUGAGUCAUCACAUGCUCACGAUACUAUUAUCCUCGUUACCGGUUUUGUUCUUCUUUCUCAUUGUCGUGUUCCGGCAUCCCCGUGACGUAGUCACAUGUGUCCUGCCAGAUGAUGAUUGACACCAUCACACCGAGAGGGCCCUAAGAAUAUCUCUCCUUCUUCAUAGGAGCCAAUCCCACUCCCAGGCUAUCUAGUCCCUUGUCAAACUUUCUGAUGAACCUGUAAGUUGUCAUUAUGAUCACCAUGUUACGGGUGAUGUUUGAGCAACCCCAAAGUCCAUCGUAUAGUAAGAAGUGAUUACGAUACUCUCAUGUUCUAAGGAGAAAAAUCACACGUUAGCACUCGGUGUUGUUACAGUUGAUUACAGACGAUAUAAACUCAAUUCGUUACACACAAAUUUUGGUCAAUUCAAUAUGAUCGUUCUUCUAACGUCAUACUAUAAAUGUUUUUUAGGAGUAUCGUUACACUUAGCGAUAUCCUAAGAUCUGGAAAACAUGAUCACUAACAACACUUGAGCCAGUCUUAGAGCAAGAUUAGGAACCUAUUCUCUACUGUUUAUCAUUCCACACGUGCAUAUGAGUUUUCCACUGAGUCGCCUAUUCCAGGAUCAUAGCAGUUAUAGCGUGAAAUAUAAACUCUUAAUUAUGAAAAUGAAAUUAUAAUAAUACAAUACUAUUGCCUCUAGGGCAUAUUCCCAAUAGUAUUAUGUUGUUGCUGCCGAUGCAAAGUCCACCAAUAUCGCGUCAUGAUCUGAAGUCACGGUUGUCAGGUGAGUUUAAUCAGCAAGUGAAACAUUCAUUGCCAGUCCACAAAAACCAUCACUCGGUCUAGGCGCACCAUUGUGAAAGUUCCACAUGUAACCUUCAUCUCAAAGGUCGGGCCAGAGUAACCCAAAUCCAACAGCAUGCAGACAUCAACCUUGUCUUGAAAAGCUUGGAUCUGCACACUGCUGCGUUGUCCAACUCCUUCGUGCUCAUCUGUAUGUAGAACUUCAUUGAAAUCGCCCAGGCAAAGCCAUGGGAGAUUGCUGGAAGUACUAAUGUUUUUAAUAGUAUACCAUGUUUGGUGCCUCAAGUGGGUUUGAGCUUCACCAUACACUAUUGUAACUCUCCAAAGAUCAAGGCUUGGUUCAAGAAUGGAGCACUCAAAAUAAUACACAGAGUAACCAAGAAUAUCUAUUUUUAUUUCAUUAUUCUAGAAAAUGCCAAUACCGCCAUUUCUAUCCUGGCUAUCAAUCGCAUAUCCAUUAUCAUACCCUAAUGUAACUGCUAAAGAUUCUACCCUUGAGCCUCUUGUUGGGUUUCUACUAUGUAGACGAUGGUAGGGGAAAAUUUCCUUGUGAAAUCACAAAGCUCACUAAUUAUCGUGGCUCUGCCCGCACCGCAACAAUUCUAGCAGAAGACACACAUUGGACAUGGCAGCACUCCUCUAGGGAGCCUAACAAUUUUGCCAUUGGGUUUUUUGUGUUGCCACCGUUCUUAUGCAACGUGUUCUUAUCUGCUGCAAUUACUUGUCCUUGACCUGUUUUGUUCCUGCCGAGACGAGGGGCUCGAUGGGAUUUGAGGGGAAGGUAGCGUCGGUGUUUUGCCUUGGGCCGACAUAGCUGUUAUGGCUAACUCAUCUGCCACUGGAUCAACUGUCGUUGCAAGCUCUGAAGCUCGUUUUUUGUUCAGUUCAGCCUUGUGCAUGUAGGCAUCAGGGUCCUCAUACUCUGAUUCCCCCUGGGAGCGCCUUGGUCCAUGACUAGUCCUGCCGCCGUGGCCACGGCCUCGCCCUCUCCCUCCUCCAGGUCCUCUCCACGCUCCCUUGAACCAGCUAGCUCACAGAUUUUUGAAAACUAGGGCUAACGGUGGAUGCACUCCAUCCCGACAUUCCUUGUACAUGUGGCGCAAAUAACCACAAACCACGAAUGAAUCUGGUAGCCGCUCAUAUGCGACUGUGAAGACCAUAUGUUCAUACACCUUUAACAUUUUUNNNNNNNNNNNNNNNNNNNNNNNNNNNNNNNNNNNNNNNNNNNNNNNNNNNNNNNNNNNNNNNNNNNNNNNNNNNNNNNNNNNNNNNNNNNNNNNNNNNNNNNNNNNNNNNNNNNNNNNNNNNNNNAAAUGCUUGAGUUACAUUUUUUCAAAUACUUGUUCAACAUUUAUUUUAGAUACGUGUUCAUCAUCUUUUGAACAUAUGGUCAACAUUUCUUCCAUACUCCCGCCGUCCGGUGAAAUGUCUACAUAUAAAAAAUUAGGACAAAUAAUGGAGUGGAAUAAAAAAUGCAUUGGGAAGAUGCAAGCCACCAUCUCUCUUUUUAUUACCAAAACCCCAAUGAGCUAAAUGUAGAAUGUUUGGUCUUGAUUACCGUGUGAUGACAGAGAAGCAUUUUUUCUACUUUCGUGUGCAUUGGGAGGAUAGGAAUACACUCUUUUGUGGACAAAAUUUAAAGCCAAACGUACACCCUUCAGCGAACGGAGGGACUACAUAGUAAAGAUUUUCCAUAUGCUUGGUUAACAUUUAUUAAAUACAUCUUCAACAUUUUUUUCAAAUACUUGAUUAAAAUUUGUAUACAUAUUAUAAAAAAUUCAUCAUUUUUUUCAUAUAUGGUCAACAUUUUUCUAUACACAUUUAACAUUUUCAAAUGCAUAACUAUUUUUAGAAAANNNNNNNNNNNNNNNNNNNNNNNNNNNNNNNNNNNNNNNNNNNNNNNNNNNNNNNNNNNNNNNNNNNNNNNNNNNNNNNNNNNNNNNNNNNNNNNNNNNNNNNNNNNNNNNNNNNNNNNNNNNNNNNNNNNNNNNNNNNNNNNNNNNNNNNNNNNNNNNNNNNNNNNNNNNNNNNNNNNNNNNNNNNNNNNNNNNNNNNNNNNNNNNNNNNNNNNNNNNNNNNNNNNNNNNNNNNNNNNNNNNNNNNNNNNNNNNNNNNNNNNNNNNNNNNNNNNNNNNNNNNNNNNNNNNNNNNNNNNNNNNNNNNNNNNNNNNNNNNNNNNNNNNNNNNNNNNNNNNNNNNNNNNNNNNNNNNNNNNNNNNNNNNNNNNNNNNNNNNNNNNNNNNNNNNNNNNNNNNNNNNNNNNNNNNNNNNNNNNNNNNNNNNNNNNNNNNNNNNNNNNNNNNNNNNNNNNNNNNNNNNNNNNNNNNNNNNNNNNNNNNNNNNNNNNNNNNNNNCAGCUCCUCGAAUGUGUCCUCGUCCACGACACCCUGGAUCGACGUCGACCACGGCCAGGCAAACUGAUAGGCCAAGUCAGGCCAAAUUCCACAACCACACGACUAGAGGGCAGGGGAGGGGCCUCACCUCGGUGUACAUGUCGGCGAUAUGGGCGUUGAGCUGGGCCCUACGGUAUGAUGUUCCAGCGAUCAUCGUUGGAGCUGUAGUUGGCGACUUAAUUAGCCCAGACUUUUCGUACCAAUGCAAAUACACCUAAGCCCAGAGAUGCUCUUCACGCUGUCUCGCGAACAGAUAGCUUUGUAAUCCCUGGAUGUGACCUCACAGACCAUCCAUUCUGUUUUUCCCUCCUCUAGCUACUGCUCGUGGUGUCGUCGUACUCUUAUAAGGAGGCCACGCUGAAAUUUCAGACCGAAAGGACAUGUUUAACAUGCGGAAAUAUGGUGAUUGGCUACACUCUGGGGACAACAACCAACAACAAGACUUGCUUAUAGAGAAAAACAAACCGAACAUACAGCAAAACAAAGUCACUAGAGGACCAACCAACCAGGUAUAGGUUUUAUAAAGAGCCCAUAGGAAGGGCGGCAACACAUCCACGACACACUAAAAUAUGGACUUCACACUGACAUCAACACACGGCAAUAGUUUUUGUUCACAGGGUUACGAGCCCAAAGUUCCGACACGAGAAUAUUCAUCUAAGUUUUACGCGCAUCCUUUGAAAACCGCUACAUCUUCGGAGACACAUGGAACACAUAAUGCAAGGGAUUGCAUGGGGCCACGUUCUCCCUCCUUCACUUGCCGCUACUUAGGAGUUAGGACCGCAUGCCGC